RNAcentral lists this non-coding RNA (100 nucleotides) under Neotoma lepida (desert woodrat). RNAcentral's name for it is "Eukaryotic large subunit ribosomal RNA". It matches the Rfam family "Eukaryotic large subunit ribosomal RNA", at positions 2661 to 2763 of the family's 3401-position model. The record is from Rfam by way of RNAcentral. Lineage: Eukaryota; Metazoa; Chordata; Mammalia; Rodentia; Cricetidae.
UCCUAACAGGAGCUCAGGGAUGAUAGAAACCUCCUGCAGAGAAGGGUAGAAGCUCACUUGAUCAUGAUUUUCUUUAUGAAUGCAGACCAUGAAAGUGGGG